GUUGUAAUAAGGUUUUACUACAGCCACUACUGCACUACAGUCGAAAAAUAUACAAAACAUUGGAAUAUAAACACUUUUUUCUGUACAGGUAACAAGGAAAGAAAUUCUACAGCAGUCAACGAGGAGACGGAAGAAUCAAAUAAUCUUUCAGUUGGCACAAUUGUGGGUAUAGUUGUAGCCGCAGUAAUUCUAAUCAUUGCAAUAAUUAUUGGCGUAUAUUAUAAAAAGAUAAAAGAUUAUUUACAAUGUGUGGACCGUCCUCCCACACCUCCCCCAAUUAGUUAUGACCAUGGCGUUGAUAAUGAUGACGUGUACACAACCACUGGUCGGCAUGCACGUCUUGACCAGUAGUUGGAUUCAACUUAUGAUACUUUACCACAUGCACAUAGAGUCGAAAUAUAGAGACAGGAAAUUCUGUCAAAAUAUGAAGUACCAAUAGCACUGUUGUCCAUUGUGUCACUGAUGUAAACAUGAAUGCAUUCUCCAGCUAAUUCAAAAAAGGCUUUCCUUUGCAAAUCUUAAACUCUAAACCUUAAACACUAAGCGUGCAAAGCAAAUAGGAGCAUCAUUUAAUCAGUUUAGAAAUCAUAUACAGUAUAGGGCCUAUUUCUUAUAUUAGAGACAUGAUAAUUAAAAUAUCUCCUUUCGAGAACAAUUCAUUCACAAAUAGCUGCAAUAUUUAACUACUAUAAGGCGAGACUUUUUUUAUUUAUUGGUUUACGGAUUUUACUUGGAAAAAACACAGGUCGGUAGGUCGGAAAAAAAUAAAAAAAAAACAUUGUUUUUUAAGAUUGUCAUCACGAUAACAUGAGCCAGUAGUACUCUAGAGUCAAAGUUUACUUGGCGUGUACUUCAUGUCAGAACCCCAAAUUAACUAAAAUUAACUAAAAUUGUUGACAUCCAAUUUUUUUUUAUUUUUCACUUUCCGAAUAUUUACGGUCGACGGAUCCGUAAACCAAUGAAUAAAAAAAGUCUCGCCUAAGCUUGAAACUCGUGCUCCCAUUAAGCUUUGCACGCUUAGAGUUUAAGGUUUAAGGUUUAGCGUUUCGGGUUUGCACAGGACAACCUUUUUUGAAUUUUGAAUUAGCUGUAUAUAUAACGCAAUAACUGUAAUAUAGUAUUUAAUAGCUAGCAGCUGUAUAUAGAGGUUCUUGCGCAUGCUCGGAGCCAAAUGCCGUUGAAAAGGUAGCCAAAAUCUACCAAAAGAGGCCAAACGACAAAAAAGGACCGAAAAACGUUAUGCAUGGGAAUUGCAAGUUAAUUACAGCUGACAAAGGUAUAGUAAGACAGUGGUUGUACUUUCACAUACGUCGUUUACGCGUUCUGAACACUUUAACCCUCUGUAUACAGCUACUUAAAACACUUUAUUUAAACCUGGUUCCUUUGUCCAGCUAACGGUAUCUAAAAGGUACCUAUUACAUGAUUCAACACAGUAGAAAAUGUCAACUUACUUGACUAAAUGUGACGAAUAGUUCAAGACCAGUAUAUCUUUAUAAUAUCUUAGUGUUCACAUUAUAGUAUAUCCUUUUGAUAUCUCAGUGUAGCUCUUUAUAUAAACGACGAACUAACAAUAACUCCGACUUAGCACGGCCUGCAUUUUUAUACUCGGUCAAGCAUGCACUCACCAUAAAUUAUCAUAUAGAAUAAAUUAGCUCUCGCAUCUACAGUGGAGUGAUGGACCAGUCAGAAUAUCAUGAGAAAAUAUAUUUUGAGUAUGCUUAGUGAUGACGUUUUUCUGUGUCUUCACCACUGCUGCACGACAAGCUAUGGCAGCAUCGACCUAGAGCCUUCAUUCACAUGUGAAGACUGCACUUUAAAGGGCCUAUAAUCACGUGCAAAAAUUAUUGAGACAACAAUUCAAUUUCCCCCCCCCCCCCCCGAAAAAAGUAUGACAUAAAGGUCAACUCCAAUUUUUUCUCAGCAUUGUCUGCUUGGGGCAGGCAGGGUGGGAUGAACUUAUAUUUGCACUUGAUGUAGCCUAGGCUCUACCUAUGGGUAGUAUAUAUCAGAAACACUUACUUUAAGACAGUUUGAGCUAAGUUAAAGGACAAUGGCAACAAAAAAGAACUCUCAUUUGAAAGAACUUUAAAAUUACCUAUAAAAUCUUGUUACAGAUUUUUCAUACCUAUAAUGUUGUUGUUUUGUUUAAAACUAUCAAUGUGACAAUACAAUAUUGAUUUGAUUACAAUGCCGUCCUACGCCCCUGUCAUGCAAUCCUGUUUCUCUCGCGCAUGUCCUUUUGCCAUGUGACAUUCUCAUAUGACUUUGUCUAGGUCACAAUACUACAUCCCUUUCUUCUUUUUAGAAGAGAACAUCUAUAUUAAUUAAUUAAACAAAUUGUACCUCAAGUUUGUUUAGGUUUAUAAUAUGUCUGUAAACUAUUUAUAAAAAUCCGGACCCCUUCUGUUCCGAGUGGGGUGUCUACGCAGCAGUUCUAUGUCAGGCAGAACAUCAUCAAAAUCAUGGUGCUUUGAUCUUUGCGGUGGCUUUUACUAUUUGCAGUGAUCAUUGUCCCUGAUAUUUCUGUUAUUUUGUAUACGGCGGUAUUUUGCUAUUUGUUAUUUUGCUGUCGGACUAAGUCGUAAUCUCCUACUUCAGAAUUGAUUUUCUUGGCAUGAUUCCGUCUAUCUGCAUACUUUCAUCUUCUCUUUCUCUUCGAGUCGUUGAUAAUAGCUUUUUCAUGAUUAUCCUCAUCCUACAAG
This 2702-nucleotide long non-coding RNA is filed under the name Paramuricea clavata. The record is from RNAcentral. Lineage: Eukaryota; Metazoa; Cnidaria; Anthozoa; Malacalcyonacea; Plexauridae.